Molecule: non-coding RNA, 148 nt
Filed under: Chlorocebus sabaeus (green monkey)
Lineage: Eukaryota; Metazoa; Chordata; Mammalia; Primates; Cercopithecidae
Source: Rfam by way of RNAcentral
GCUGGGCGUGGUGGCGUGCACCUGUAAUCCCAGCUACCCAGGAGGCUGAGGCAGGAGAAUUGCUUGAACCUAGGAGAUGGAGGUUGCAGUGAGCCAAGAUCACACCACUGUACUCCAGCCUUGGUGACAGAGCAAGAUUCUGUCUCAA